UAUGAUCCAGAGUACCACGGGACACGUGAAACCCUGUGGGAAGCAGGAGGGACCACCCUCCAAGGCUAAAUACUACCUAGUGACCGAUAGCGUAUAGUACCGUGAGGGAAAGGUGAAAAGAACCCCGGGAGGGGAGUGAAAUAGAACCUGAAACCCUGCACUUACAAGCUGUGGAAGCACAUUUCUUGUGUGACCGCGUACUUUUUGUAGAACGGGCCAACGAGUUACGUUAAGUAGCAAGGUUAAGCACUUAAGGUGUGGAGCCGUAGCGAAAGCGAGUUUUAACUGAGCGUUCAGUUACUUGACGUAGACCCGAAACCGGGCGACCUACCCAUGAGCAGGAUGAAGCGAAAGUAAAAUUUCGUGGAGGUCCGAACCCACGAGCGUUGAAAAGCUCGGGGAUGACUUGUGGGUAGCGGUGAAAUUCCAAUCGAGCCCGGAGAUAGCUGGUUCUCCCCGAAAUAGCUUUAGGGCUAGCCUCAAGGUGAGAGAUACGGAGGUAGAGCACUGAAUGUCCUAGGGGGUAUUGCACCUACCGAAGACUAUCAAACUCCGAAUGCCGUCAUCUUAUACUUGGGAGUCAGACUGUGGGUGAUAAGAUUCAUAGUCGAAAGGGCAACAGCCCAGAUCGUCAGCUAAGGUCCCUAAAUGUAAGUUAAGUGGUAAAGGAUGUGGGAUUGCACAGACAACCAGGAUGUUGGCUUAGAAGCAGCCACUCAUUCAAAGAGUGCGUAAUAGCUCACUGGUCGAGUGAUCCUGCGCCGAAGAUUUCCGGGGCUAAAACUUACUACCGAAGCUACGGCAUCAGUAAUGAUGGGUAGGGGAGCUUCCCAUACGGGUUGAAGCAUGACCGUAAGGACAUGUGGACAGUAUGGGAGUGAGAAUGUUGGCAUGAGUAGCGAGAUGUGGGUGAGAAUCCCACAGGCCGUAAACCCAAGGUUUCCAGGGGAAGGUUCGUCCGCCCUGGGUUAGUCGGGACCUAAGCUGAGGCCGAAAGGCGUAGGUGAUGGACAACAGGUUGAUAUUCCUGUACUACCGAUAACCGUUUGAGAGAAGGGAUGACACAGUAGGAUAAGCUAAGCACACUGUUGGUUAUGUGUGCCCAAGCAUUGAGGCAGUCAAAGUAGGCAAAUCCGCUUUGAUAAUGCUGGGAUGUGAUGGGGAGCGAAAUUUAGUAGCGAAGUAGCUGAUUUCACACUGUCAAGAAAAGUCUCUAUCGAGGUUAAAGGUACCCGUACCGCAAACCGACACAGGUGGGUGAGGAGAGUAUCCUAAGGCCAGCGAGAGAACUGUUGUUAAGGAACUCGGCAAAAUGACCCCGUAACUUAGGGAUAAGGGGUGCCACCAUCAGGUGGCCGCAGAGAAUAGGCCCAAGCGACUGUUUACCAAAAACAUAGGUUUCUGCUAAGUCGCAAGACGAUGUAUAGGAGCUGACGCCUGCCCGGUGCUGGAAGGUUAAGGGGAUCUGUUAGAGCAAUCGAAGCAGUGAACUUAAGCCCCAGUAAACGGCGGCCGUAACUAUAACGGUCCUAAGGUAGCGAAAUUCCUUGUCGGGUAAGUUCCGACCCGCACGAAAGGCGUAACGAUUUGGGCACUGUCUCAACAACAGACUCGGUGAAAUUGUAAUUCCGGUGAAGAUGCCGGAUACCUGCGACAGGACGGAAAGACCCCAUGGAGCUUUACUGUAGCUUGACAUUGGGU
Molecule: ribosomal RNA, 1701 nt
Filed under: Clostridioides difficile
Lineage: Bacteria; Bacillati; Bacillota; Clostridia; Peptostreptococcales; Peptostreptococcaceae
Description: partial 23S ribosomal RNA
Rfam family: Bacterial large subunit ribosomal RNA
Source: RNAcentral